AUUGGUUGUUACCAGCGGAUGGGUGGAGCGAAGCGGGCGGCUCCGCCCCGGCAUGGCCGGGCCUGCGGGAGCGGAGCGGCGUGAGGGGUCCUGAUGACAUCUUUAUAUUGAUUUCUCUCUUCCUGUGGAGAAGGAAGCAUCUAUGGGGAAUAUAUACCUAGGAAUAUGUUAGAGUGGUUUUCCCUUAACAGGAGAAGCCACUUUGUUUCUGUUAAGGAAGUAGCAAAACCUCAUUUGCUUCAUGCUCUAAUUUUUGAAGACUGCCUAGAUGAGCUGUGAAUGUACCUUAGGUUCACUAAAGAAUUUUUGAAAGACUUGCAAAGUCCUGGUAGCAGGAUACUGAACAACUCCAAUGCUGCUGUUAAUGUUGAUGAAAUUGUACUGAGCAACACCAAAGCAUCCCGAGGGCAUGUGAUGUACAUGACUCUAUAGAAAUCAUAAAUUAGUAUUUUGUUUUAGAGCAAGAAACUUCACAAAUGAGCAUUUAUUUGACUGCUAAGGACAGGAGGUUUCAAAGGAGUCAGAUCCAAGUUGGCAUCCUGCAGCCAUCCCCAGGAAGACACAAAAUGUGCCAGGUAAUUGCUGAGCCUGUCGCUGUGCUGGGUUUGGUGCUUGUUACUCAGCUAAGCUUUAAAGGGCAGUUUAUUGUGUAAAAGUCAUUACAGCUGCUCAGAACUGGGAGGCUUUGAUGUGGGUGGUUCUCUGCAGGUCUUGGAGCUGGCCAAAUCCAAGUUUGGCAGGGACAGGGUGUUGUGCAGGAGUGGAAAGCAGCCAGGGCCUGGCAGGCAGACAUCUGGUGGGCAUUUUGGGGAGAAAAGAGGGAUUAAUCCUGGAAGAAGGAGCUGUAGAGGCCCUGGAGCAGUGUGGGAUAAGGUAAUUUGUGUGUUAGUGAAUUCUGCACUGAGGGAUGAACCUCCCCAAGAGCUCUGCAGUGCUGGGGGUGCGUGUCCCAUGCCUGCCCAGCUUCUCCCUGAGCAGCAGACAAAUAGAAUAGGAAGGAUAACAGGAAAAUAAACUUAUCCUGAGAAGGAAUCAUCAGUCAAAUGCUUAUUUAUGAGUUGGUGCACCAGAGUCACCAGGACGUUAACAAAAAGUAAAAAUUGUUUAGAACCUCAGAAAAUCUCGCACCUCAAUGUGAUCUGUGUGUUCUUACUGGCUCUCUGAAGGAAGAGAAGUAUCUUCACGGAUCUCAUAGCUACUGGAGAAGACAGAAAUGAGACAGUUUCUAUUAUUAUUCCAUAGUGGCAAAGUAGAAGGGUCAGGGAUACAAAGAUAAUAAAGCAUCAGGAACAAAUCUCAUUUAUUAGGUGUUUUGGGGAGAUUCAUAUUACUGCAUUUCCCCACAUUAUUCAAUAACCUUGCUCUCCUGCUUACAGGAGAAGGAGGAUAUUGGAGAUUCUUAUCUUCUGAAACAGAGCUAAAGUGGAGGGAAAAUGAGACAGACACCUGGUUCAGUGGAUUAAACGUUAGAAGAUGUCUCUUAAUCUGGAAAGAGCAGAGUGGGGUCCUGUACUUUGUGCAGCAAACUUUGUUCUUGUGUUCUCCGAGCACUGUCACCGUGAUAUCUGGAGCACUGCUGCUCCCUAGAGUCAGAAAAACAACCUUCCAUCCUGAAAAAUCAGGUGUCAAACAAGAGCAAACCACGUCACACAGGUUUUCUUUCCUCCUGUGUUCAGUGGAAGGAUGUUUUGUUCUGAUAUGAAUGUUCUACGUGGCUGGGGCUGGAAUAAUUGCAAUGUAAUGCUUGGACAUUAAAGAUCUUCAGCCUACAAAGUGCUAAUCUUGCAUGUGGAAAGGUGAAAGCAGCUUUAGUCUUGUCUCUCAUGUAAUUAGAACCCCCAGAGGAGGAAAAUGUUUUUCCAAUAACCAGAAAAGAAUUAAAUUAGGUUCUCCAUCAGAAUUUUGCUUUAUAAAAGCAGAUAAUAAUGAAUGCAAAGACUUAUUUAACAAUAAACCACUCUCAUCAGCUGGCA
Cyanistes caeruleus (blue tit) is the source of this 1973-nucleotide long non-coding RNA. RefSeq lists it as uncharacterized. The record is from RefSeq and is a predicted model, not a curated record. Lineage: Eukaryota; Metazoa; Chordata; Aves; Passeriformes; Paridae.